This 253-nucleotide ribosomal RNA is filed under the name uncultured bacterium. RNAcentral describes it as "partial 16S ribosomal RNA". It matches the Rfam family "Bacterial small subunit ribosomal RNA", at positions 524 to 776 of the family's 1533-position model. The record is from RNAcentral.
UACGUAGGGUCCGAGCGUUGUCCGGAAUUAUUGGGCGUAAAGGGCUCGUAGGCGGUUUGUCACGUCGGGAGUGAAAACUCAGGGCUCAACCCUGAGCGUGUUUCCGAUACGGGCAGACUAGAGGUAUGCAGGGGAGAACGGAAUUCCUGGUGUAGCGGUGGAAUGCGCAGAUAUCAGGAGGAACACCGGUGGCGAAGGCGGUUCUCUGGGCAUGACCUGACGCUGAGGAGCGAAAGCAUGGGGAGCGAACAGG